RNAcentral lists this ribosomal RNA (443 nucleotides) under uncultured bacterium. RNAcentral's name for it is "partial 16S ribosomal RNA". It matches the Rfam family "Bacterial small subunit ribosomal RNA", at positions 338 to 795 of the family's 1533-position model. The record is from RNAcentral.
CCUACGGGUGGCUACAGUGGGGAAUAUUGGUCAAUGGGCGCAAGCCUGACCCAGCAACGCCGCGUGAAGGAAGAAGGCUUUAGGGUUGUUAACUUCUUUUCUGCGGGACGCAGAAAGUGACGGUACCUCCGGAAUAAGCCACGGCUAACUACGGGCCAGCAGCCGCGGUAAUACGUAGGUGGCAGGCGUUAUCCGGAUUUCUUGGGUGUAAAGGGAGCGCAGGGGGCACGGCAAGCUUGAUGUGAAAGCCCGCGGCCCAACCGCGGGACUGCAUUGGAAACUACCCGGCUUGAGUGCCGGAGAGGUAGGCGGAAUGCCUAGUGUAGCGGUGAAAUGCGUAGAUAUUAGGAGGAACACCAGUGGCGAAGGCGGCCUACUGGACGGGGACUGACGCUGAGGCUCGAAAGCGUGGGGAGCGAACAGGAUUAGAUACCCGGGUAGUC